This 440-nucleotide ribosomal RNA is filed under the name uncultured bacterium. RNAcentral describes it as "partial 16S ribosomal RNA". It matches the Rfam family "Bacterial small subunit ribosomal RNA", at positions 338 to 795 of the family's 1533-position model. The record is from RNAcentral.
CCUACGGGUGGCAGCAGUGGGGAAUAUUGCACAAUGGGGGAAACCCUGAUGCAGCGACGCCGCGUGAGUGAAGAAGUAUUUCGGUAUGUAAAGCUCUAUCAGCAGGGAAGAAAAUGACGGUACCUGACUACGACGCCCCGGCUAACUACGUGCCAGCAGCCGCGGUAAUACGUAGGGGGCAAGCGUUAUCCGGAUUUACUGGGUGUAACGGGAGCGUAGACGGUGGUGCAAGACAGAAGUGAAGGCCCGGGGCUCAACUCCGGGACUGCUUUUGAAACUGUGUGACUGGAGUGCCGGAGAGGUAGGCGGAAUUCCUGGUGUAGCGGUGAAAUGCGUAGAUAUCAGGAGGAACACCAGUGGCGAAGGCGGCUUACUGGACGGUAACUGACGUUGAGGCUCGAAAGCGUGGGGAGCAAACAGGAUUAGAUACCCGUGUAGUC